AAAAGAAAAUAUGCAAGGCUGGAUUCAACUUCAUCUACAAAGAGAACUUUGAUAACUGCACAAUCAUCAAUCAUUCUCAGAGAACAGAAAGCUCCAGUUCAAGCCUAUUAUCUACUAAAGGACUCAUCUUAGCCCUGUGAUUAAAAAGAAUUGAUUACUUCGGCUGUUUCUUAUAGCAAGAUCUUUACUUUCAUCUAAAAUAGUGCUCUUAUAUUUCACACUGAGUUUCAAAAUUCCAAAGAGGAGACCUGUACACUACUGUGAUUUGAUGUGAUAGAAUGCCAAAGUGGGGGAACAAGUUGAAAGUUACAGGCUUAAGAAGACAAACAUGACAGUGGCAGAUAUGUGUGUAUUGACCCUUCCAGACUGUACUGGCC
RNAcentral lists this long non-coding RNA (377 nucleotides) under Homo sapiens (human). Its description in RNAcentral is "HSALNT0347664". Lineage: Eukaryota; Metazoa; Chordata; Mammalia; Primates; Hominidae. The record is from RNAcentral.